GACAGAGGGUGCGAACGUUGCUCGGAAUUACUGGGCGUAAAGCGCGUGUAGGCGGACUGGUAAGUCGGACGUGAAAUCCCUGGGCUCAACCCAGGAACUGCAUCCGAAACUAUCAGUCUGGAGUGGUGGAGAGGAAAGCAGAAUUCCUGGUGUAGAGGUGAAAUUCGUAGAUAUCAGGAGGAACACCGGUGGCGAAGGCGGCUUUCUGGACCGUAACUGACGCUGAGACGCGAAAGCGUGGGGAGCAAACAGG
This 253-nucleotide ribosomal RNA is filed under the name uncultured bacterium. Its description in RNAcentral is "partial 16S ribosomal RNA". It matches the Rfam family "Bacterial small subunit ribosomal RNA", at positions 524 to 776 of the family's 1533-position model. The record is from RNAcentral.